Molecule: ribosomal RNA, 700 nt
Filed under: uncultured Pseudomonadota bacterium
Lineage: Bacteria; Pseudomonadati; Pseudomonadota
Description: bacterial SSU rRNA
Rfam family: Bacterial small subunit ribosomal RNA
Source: RNAcentral
AGUGAACGCUGGCGGUAGGCCUAACACAUGCAAGUCGAACGGCAGCACAGGAGAGCUUGCUCUCUGGGUGGCGAGUGGCGGACGGGUGAGGAAUACAUCGGAAUCUACUCUGUCGUGGGGGAUAACGUAGGGAAACUUACGCUAAUACCGCAUACGACCUACGGGUGAAAGCAGGGGAUCUUCGGACCUUGCGCGAUUGAAUGAGCCGAUGUCGGAUUAGCUAGUUGGCGGGGUAAAGGCCCACCAAGGCGACGAUCCGUAGCUGGUCUGAGAGGAUGAUCAGCCACACUGGAACUGAGACACGGUCCAGACUCCUACGGGAGGCAGCAGUGGGGAAUAUUGGACAAUGGGCGCAAGCCUGAUCCAGCCAUACCGCGUGGGUGAAGAAGGCCUUCGGGUUGUAAAGCCCUUUUGUUGGGAAAGAAAUCCAGCUGGCUAAUACCCGGUUGGGAUGACGGUACCCAAAGAAUAAGCACCGGCUAACUUCGUGCCAGCAGCCGCGGUAAUACGAAGGGUGCAAGCGUUACUCGGAAUUACUGGGCGUAAAGCGUGCGUAGGUGGUCGUUUAAGUCCGUUGUGAAAGCCCUGGGCUCAACCUGGGAACUGCAGUGGAUACUGGGCGACUAGAGUGUGGUAGAGGGUAGCGGAAUUCCUGGUGUAGCAGUGAAAUGCGUAGAGAUCAGGAGGAACAUCCAUGGCG